UCACAAUUUAAUCUCCACUAUCACAAGCAUGUUUCAGUAAGCAUGAAGACUACAGUCUCACAAUUCUGACCGAGGAAAUAUAAUUUAGAAUUAACUUCCUUCCAAAUUAAGACAUUCCUCUGAUGUGCUGCCCAGUGGAAUAAAGUUGCAUUCUCUGACAGUACUUAGCCCCACCCAGCUGAUCUUUUGUGUACAGAUAUGCGGAGACCUAAUACCAAGUUACUAAAAGCAUCUCUCUGCAGCCUUGCCUGUAUCUUCACUUAGCUCAUUUUACUUUCUGUUGCAGCCUCUCUGAGAUGGGUUUAGCACUGCUAUCAUUUAAAGGCAGCAAGAUUAUCUUCAAGAAAAACAGCUCUAAAAUCCAUCCAUCCUAUUGACGUCAAUUGCUUAGGAAGGGAGUGAAUACAGAAAACUUCGUAGAAAGUCAGCUCUGCGUGUUUUAUCUUAGAUUUCCAAGUGAAAACAAUUGCUAGAAAGCCUGAGGUUGUUGCUGAUUAUAAAACAGUGAUUUUUCCCCUCCUGUGAUUUUUAAAAAUUCAGUGGUUUGAACUAUCUGAAUCAAAGUUUAAACUUUGAUUUAUGUAGCUGUAUAAGAAUUUUGCAAUGUCAGCUGUGAAGUUUGAAUUGGAUAAUCUUUCUCCUGAAGGAUUCAGACAUGAGCAUGUUUCCAGCUCAGAGUUUACUUUAACCUGCUUGACUGAACUUUCUGGUGAUUCUAGUCAAUGGGAACUUCAGCACUACAAUUCUGUCCCUGUUGAAUCAGAGCCUCUUUGCUUUCUUCUGAGAUUGGUGCCAUGUAAAGACAAGGACACUGCCCAAAGAUGAAACAGACUGGCACAGAUGAGCUAGUUGGGUAAAGACUUCUGCCUCCUGAAAGUGUGAUUCUUUCCAGACACAUAUAGUUUAAAUUAAUAAAAUCAUGGAAUUGGAUAGUUGAACAAAAGAGGCUAAUUUUUAUUUAUUUUUUGCAACACAUUUUCUUUGAGCAGAGAUAAGAGAUGAGGAAAUGGACACAG
RNAcentral lists this long non-coding RNA (1016 nucleotides) under Capra hircus (goat). RNAcentral describes it as "lncRNA (ENSCHIG00000001794.1)". Lineage: Eukaryota; Metazoa; Chordata; Mammalia; Artiodactyla; Bovidae. The record is from RNAcentral.